Phrynosoma platyrhinos (Desert horned lizard) is the source of this 71-nucleotide non-coding RNA. NCBI's taxonomy places the organism in Eukaryota, Metazoa, Chordata, Lepidosauria, Squamata, Phrynosomatidae. The record is from the annotation of a GenBank genome assembly.
GGCUAUAAGGCAUAGUGGUUGGAGCACUGGACUAUGACUUUGGAGAACAGGGUUCAAUUCCCUCUUGGUCA